This 396-nucleotide ribosomal RNA is filed under the name uncultured bacterium. RNAcentral describes it as "partial 16S ribosomal RNA". It matches the Rfam family "Bacterial small subunit ribosomal RNA", at positions 360 to 774 of the family's 1533-position model. The record is from RNAcentral.
AAUCUUGCGCAAUGGGCGAAAGCCUGACGCAGCGACGCCGCGUGAGCGAAGAAGGCCUUCGGGUCGUAAAGCUCAGUCAUUGGGGAUGAGAUGACAGUACCCAAGGAGGAAGCCCCGGCUAACUACGUGCCAGCAGCCGCGGUAAUACGUAGGGGGCGAGCGUUGUCCGGAAUUACUGGGCGUAAAGGGUACGUAGGCGGCUAUAUAAGUCAGGUGUGAAAUACCAGUGCUUAACACUGGAAUUGCAUUUGAAACUGUGUAGCUUGAGUGCAGGAGAGGAAAGUGGAAUUCCUAGUGUAGCGGUGAAAUGCGUAGAGAUUAGGAGGAACACCAGUGGCGAAGGCGACUUUCUGGACUGUAACUGACGCUGAGGUACGAAAGCGUGGGUAGCGAACA